CCUACGGGAGGCAGCAGUGGGGAAUAUUGCACAAUGGGGGAAACCCUGAUGCAGCGACGCCGCGUGAGCGAUGAAGUAUUUCGGUAUGUAAAGCUCUAUCAGCAGGGAAGAAAAUGACGGUACCUGACUAAGAAGCCCCGGCUAACUACGUGCCAGCAGCCGCGGGAAUACGUAGGGGGCAAGCGUUAUCCGGAUUUACUGGGUGUAAAGGGGGCGUAGACGGUCCUGCAAGCCAGAUGUGAAAGCCCGGGGCUCAACCCCGGGACUGCAUUUGGAACUGUAAGGCUAGAGUGUCGGAGAGGCAGGCGGAAUUCCUGGUGUAGCGGUGAAAUGCGUAGAUAUUAGGAGGAACACCAGUGGCGAAGGCGGCCUGCUGGACGAUAACUGACGUUGAGGCUCGAAAGCGUGGGGAGCAAACAGGAUUAGAUACCCGUGUAGUC
Molecule: ribosomal RNA, 440 nt
Filed under: uncultured bacterium
Lineage: Bacteria
Description: partial 16S ribosomal RNA
Rfam family: Bacterial small subunit ribosomal RNA
Source: RNAcentral